UCGGACCCCGUAGUCCUGCAAUGGAUGCACUGAAGCCCAGGAAGCCAAGAGCGGCUUGGCCAGAGGCUGGAUCUGGUGAGGGAAUGAGAUAUUCCUUCACCUAAGGGCCACGGGAGGCAUGUCUGUUGCAGGAUCGGGGAAACUGAGGCCCACACAUCGGGAAAGUGAGAUCUACCGACCUCACCUGGAACCUCACAACGCAAAACAGCCAAAGCCGAGGCUGCACCUCUGGGUGUUGCCACUUCCAGCUCCGGUCCUCCCCACUCAGCGCACAGAGCCACACUCUGUCCAGUCACCUGAGAAAACUAGGCCAGAUGAGGUCCGGGGACCAAGCAGAGCAUGGGAAAUAAAAAGAGAAAAGGAAAAGAGAAGGCUCCUUUGAGCCUGAAUCAUCAUGAUGUCCCGGGCAAUGACAGUGGAGAUCCUUGACUUUCACGGGUGCGUCAUGUCAGGGUCCCUCGUCCCCGAACAUCUUCAGACAAAGAUGAGUGCCAUCCAGCACCAUCCCGGUUCAGCGAAGCAGCGGACCCUCCCCCAGCAGAGGCAGCGCCGCUGCUUGUGGGUUUGCCAAGGGCAUGGCCACGAUUUCAAGGUCAGCCUCUCUUCGGCCCUUGGGGCCCCUAAAUGGCAUGAUGGCUUCGCUGGGGGUGAGAGACGUACCC
Long non-coding RNA from Mustela erminea (ermine), 662 nucleotides. RefSeq lists it as uncharacterized. The transcript has 3 exons. The record is from RefSeq and is a predicted model, not a curated record. NCBI's taxonomy places the organism in Eukaryota, Metazoa, Chordata, Mammalia, Carnivora, Mustelidae.